This 484-nucleotide ribosomal RNA is filed under the name uncultured bacterium. Its description in RNAcentral is "partial 16S ribosomal RNA". It matches the Rfam family "Bacterial small subunit ribosomal RNA", at positions 30 to 507 of the family's 1533-position model. The record is from RNAcentral.
AUUGAACGCUGGCGGCAGGCCUAACACAUGCCAGUCGAGCGGAUGAAGGGAGCUUGCUCCUGGAUUCAGCGGCGGACGGGUGAGUAAUGCCUAGGAAUCUGCCUGGUAGUGGGGGAUAACGUCCGGAAACGGGCGCUAAUACCGCAUACGUCCUGAGGGAGAAAGUGGGGGAUCUUCGGACCUCACGCUAUCAGAUGAGCCUAGGUCGGAUUAGCUAGUUGGUGGGGUAAAGGCCUACCAAGGCGACGAUCCGUAACUGGUCUGAGAGGAUGAUCAGUCACACUGGAACUGAGACACGGUCCAGACUCCUACGGGAGGAAGCAGUGAGGAAUAUUGGACAAUGGGCGAAAGCCUGAUCCAGCCAUGCCGCGUGUGUGAAGAAGGUCUUCGGAUUGUAAAGCACUUUAAGUUGGGAGGAAGGGCAGUAAGUUAAUACCUUGCUGUUUUGACGUUACCAACAGAAUAAGCACCGGCUAACUUCGUG